CCUACGGGAUGCAGCAGUGGGGAAUAUUGCACAAUGGGGGAAACCCUGAUGCAGCGACGCCGCGUGAGUGAAGAAGUAUUUCGGUAUGUAAAGCUCUAUCAGCAGGGAAGAAAAUGACGGUACCUGAUUAAGAAGCCUCGGCUAACUACGUGCCAGCAGCCGCGGUAAUCCGUAGGGGGCAAGCGUUAUCCGGAUUUACUGGGGGAAAAGGGAGCGUAGACGGCAGCACAAGUCUGGAGGGAAAGGCCGGGGCUUAACCCCGGACCGGCUUUGGAAACUGUGCAGCUAGAGUGCAGGAGAGGUAAGUGGAAUUCCUAGUGUAGCGGUGAAAUGCGUAGAUAUUAGGAGGAACACCAGUGGCGAAGGCGGCUUACUGGACUGUAACUGACGUUGAGGCUCGAAAGCGUGGGGAGCAAACAGGAUUAGAUACCCGAGUAGUC
This 440-nucleotide ribosomal RNA is filed under the name uncultured bacterium. RNAcentral's name for it is "partial 16S ribosomal RNA". It matches the Rfam family "Bacterial small subunit ribosomal RNA", at positions 338 to 795 of the family's 1533-position model. The record is from RNAcentral.